CCUACGGGCGGCAGCAGUGAGGAAUAUUGGUCAAUGGGCGGGAGCCUGAACCAGCCAAGUAGCGUGAGGGAUGACUGCACUGCGGAUUGUAAACUUCUUUUAUAAAGGAAUAAAGUGAGGGACGUGUCCCUGUUUGUGUGUACUUUAUGAAUAAGGAUCGGCUAACUCCGUGCCAGCAGCCGCGGUAAUACGGAGGAUCCGAGCGUUAUCCGGAUUUAUUGGGGUUAAAGGGAGCGUAGAUGGGUUGUUAAGUCAGUUGUGAAAGUUUGCGGCUCAACCGCAAAAUUGCAAUUGAUACUGGCAGCCUUGAGUACAGGUGAGGAAGGCGGAAUUCGUGGUGUAGCGGUGAAAUGCUUAGAUAUCACGAAGAACCCCGAUUGCGAAGGCAGCUUACUAAACUGCCACUGACAUUGAUGCUCGUAAGUGUGGGUAUCAAACAGGAUUAGAUACCCGUGUAGUC
Molecule: ribosomal RNA, 460 nt
Filed under: uncultured bacterium
Lineage: Bacteria
Description: partial 16S ribosomal RNA
Rfam family: Bacterial small subunit ribosomal RNA
Source: RNAcentral